AUGCUACCAGGAGUUCUUCAGCCAGUGCAUUCUCCAGGGAGCCACAACAUGCAGCUGGAACAGCAAAAAGCUGGAAUUGAAAGCUAUGCUGACUUUCAUUGGGAAGUCUUCAGCUGUCUAGUGAAGAAGUCAGAGCUCCAGCUGUUUCCUCCACAUCUGGGCUCUCUAGUGCUGCUAGCUGCUGUUUGUGAGGUCCCAGGUGGAGGAAGGAAUGGAGGUGGAGCAGAGCAGCACUCUGAGAAGGAGUAAGGAGCUGUGGCCAAAGCCUUGAAGAAACUCAAGGACGUAUCUCCUCACAUUAGCAACAAGGAUGGAUUAACUGGAUGAUGGAUGAGAGGAUCUCUUUGAAUCUUGGUUUGGAACAUGAAGAAAAAGAAGCAAAUUUUUGUUUAUUUUGAGGCUUGGAAAAAUGAACUUGUUCGUUACAUCCCCACUCGAAGUCUUUUCUUGUUUGCAUAACUUUGCAG
This 467-nucleotide long non-coding RNA is filed under the name Parus major (Great Tit). RNAcentral's name for it is "lncRNA (ENSPMJG00000009758.1)". Lineage: Eukaryota; Metazoa; Chordata; Aves; Passeriformes; Paridae. The record is from RNAcentral.